Capsicum annuum is the source of this 2846-nucleotide long non-coding RNA. RefSeq lists it as uncharacterized. The record is from RefSeq and is a predicted model, not a curated record. Lineage: Eukaryota; Viridiplantae; Streptophyta; Magnoliopsida; Solanales; Solanaceae. The transcript is spliced from 11 exons.
UCUAGUAUAGAAGAAGAGAGCUUAGAGACGACCAAGGGCACAGCCGUAAAUAAUCACAUUAUUGAGGGCAAAUAUUAAUUUCAAUAUCUACUACCCUCAACAUCAUCUGGAAAUCUCCACUACACUUUCAUUCCUCUUCCUCCGUUUUCCCCUUUCUUCUACUGCUACAGUGAAUAAUAAUUUUGUUUUACAGGACGCAUUGGAAAGCUUGGUGCUAAUGGAAUUUUUACCGGAUUUUGUUUUGGAUUAUAAGAAAUUGCUUUGUUGAAUCUACAAAUUUGAGGUAACAUAUCUGAUAGCCCAAAAAUCAGUAGAUUUGGGCAAAAAACAGUUGCAAUCUGUUUUUAUUCUUACAGUAGAAAAGUUGGAUUUCUCUGUUUUUUUGGAUGAAGAAUUUUUGACAGAUGUUGUCUUCAGCAAAACCCGCUACUCUUCUUGAUUUGGUCAUCGUUAUCUAUUUUUCUCCUCGCUUGUCAUCUUCGCUAUUCUUCUCAGUUGUUGGCACUUUUUCCUCUCAACUUGCGACAAAGAAGAUUUAGGAGACUGAGUAGGUGGAGUCAAAUCACAUUUUGCUAUUUACUGGUCAAGAAUUUACCGGGCCGAUUAGGUCCUAAAAUCUUUGCAAGCCAUACUGAUGAGUGGCGAGAGUAGUACUGGUGAUUGGCGAGAGUCGGAGACAAAAUUGAUCCUACAUACUACAUUUCAGUCAUGUUUUUUCUAUGAUGGUUAUAAUACAAAAUACUUUUGUACACAAUUUAGAUUUUGUAGACAACCAUUCUGAAACCAUUUCCUAAUGUCUAAUUGGAGAUAAAAAUUAAUGGAAUGUGAUAAUUAGUGAAGCAUGCAGGGCGGCCUUAUGAUUUGUGUUAUGUAAUAGUCGCAACUCACAAAUUGAAGAGUGAAAUUGCCGCCCGUCGCACGAAGCAUCCUGCUACCUAACAGGAUUUGAAGAAACCUUAUUUAGUUUUCGGAUCCUUCAUAGUAACCACCGUGAAUUUGUACAAUACACUUAAAGUAAACAUGUCAUGUUUUGUAGCUAUAUAACUAGGGACCUAUCUUUCUAAUGAUAUAUGCACCGAGUCAGGUUUAUAGCUUAGCUGUUCUCUUUGAGUAUGCAACUUUUCCUGUCAACGAUAAAGUUUAUAACUUAGCUGCUCUCUUUGAGUAUGCAACUUUUCCUGUCAACGAUAUACUAUGGCGUGAAGAAACAUAACGAACAAAAGAGAUAGGGGGAGAAGAAAGGGGUUGAAUGUACAUACUGUCAGUUUUAUCCCGUUAAGUUGCUCGACAAAAGAAUGAACUUCUGGAUGAUGUAAGAUUCUCACAAAUUGAUGUUCUGGCAACAUACUAGCUGAUGACCUCUCUGCUGGAUUUCUACGGAAACAACAAUGCAAGAAAUCUUUUCCUUCUGGUGAUAAUGUUUCAGGCAGAAAGAAAAAGGAAGCUCGGUUUGCCACCAGAAGAUCCCGCUUUCCCCAAACCUUCUAUUGCACCUGUUGUGGAGGAAAAAAAGAGCUCAUUUUUGCCUUUCAGACCAGCUACAAAGGCAGUGCGGAUGAGAGAGUGCCUGUGAACUCUUAAACGGACCCACAAGGAUGAUGAUGCCAAAGUCAAGACUGCUUUCAACACUCUGCUAACUUAUGCAAAGAAUGUCGCUACAAAUCCCAAUGAGAAGAAAUUUCGCAAGAUUAGACUUUUAGUAAUGCUGCUUUUCAGGGCCACAAGAAAUGGAUAACUGGUACACCUCAGCUAAGUUGCUCGGACUCUUCAAAAAUGUCUACGGGUGCGUGUCGGAUCCUCCAAAAAUAGUGUAUCUCUAAAGGAUCCGACACCGGUGCGGCAACAUUUUUGGAGAGUCCGAGCAACUUUGCACCUCAGUGCUCCAUGUCGCCGAUUUGUAAGUGCAAGUAAAGAUGGUGAUGCAUGGAUAUGGGAUGUUACAACAAGGAAGUGUCUCAUUUUCCUCACUGGCCAUACACUUGCAAUAACAUGUGUAAAACGGGGUGGAGAUGGAGUUAUAUACACUGGGUCACAUAAACAAUCAGUAUAAUACUUGCUUCUGGAUGCUUGUUAAGUCUGCAAAGAGCAUAACUGAAGCUCAGAGCUACCUAAAGCUUUUGAGAAGAGCACAAAAUUUCAUUGAAUAAUCAAUAAUACUUGACUCCACAAUUGUGCAACAAGGGUAGAUUUGGAAUUUCACAAUUGAGAAAGAAGCCACCUUGACCUACUCUUAUAAACAAUAAUUUGGAGGUUAGACCUGGUGAGAACAUUGCUAUAUGGGCGGAGGUGGGCUUAUGAAAGUCAAAACUCUUCUGGCAGUAAUUCUUGGAAAGGUUCCAAGUAUCGAAGGAACUGUACGUUCUAUUCGUUACUUGCUGUUUUUUUUUGCUAGGUAAAAAAUGCCAAGCAGCUUCUCAAAAUUUGUAUUGCAGAUGAUAAUGUCUAUUGGUUGCAAAAUGGACCAUGAACGUUAACUCCUUGAUGAAGGACUCUCUUACAUGACUCCUGGAGAGCGCAGGUGCAUCAGACACCAAAUAAGUAUGUCAUAACAAGUGAAAUUCUGGAUUAUGUCAAGAUAUAUAUGACUAUGAUUAAUGUAUAGGCGCCCGUAUUGGUCGUUCAGUCGUUUCUGCUGCUAUCUGCUGAAUUUUGCCAUCGCCUCCUCACUCUGCUACCUUGUUUAUGCGGUCUCUACGGAUAUAUCACCGUUCCUUUCUCCUAUAUCUCAGUUAUUUCAGUAAAAUUUUUAAACUAUUGUUUGUAAGCCUCUACUGGUGUAUUCUAUAUAGAAUUAGUAAUAUUUAACUUUUUUUUUCAAAACUUUUUCAUAUUUUCGCGGAGUUUCA